CUGAUGCAGCCAUGCCGCGUGUAUGAAGAAGGCCUUCGGGUUGUAAAGUACUUUCAGUCGUGAGGAAGGUGGUGUCGUUAAUAGCGGCGUCAUUUGACGUUAGCGACAGAAGAAGCACCGGCUAACUCCGUGCCAGCAGCCGCGGUAAUACGGAGGGUGCGAGCGUUAAUCGGAAUUACUGGGCGUAAAGCGCAUGCAGGUGGUUUGUUAAGUCAGAUGUGAAAGCCCGGGGCUCAACCUCGGAAUAGCAUUUGAAACUGGCAGACUAGAGUACUGUAGAGGGGGGUAGAAUUUCAGGUGUAGCGGUGAAAUGCGUAGAGAUCUGAAGGAAUACCGGUGGCGAAGGCGGCCCCCUGGACAGAUACUGACACUCAGAUGCGAAAGCGUGGGGAGCAAACAGGAUUAGAUACCCUGGUAGUCCACGCCGUAAACGAUGUCUACUUGGAGGUUGUGGCCUUGAGCCGUGGCUUUCGGAGCUAACGCGUUAAGUAGACCGCCUGGGGAGUACGGUCGCAAGAUUAAAACUCAAAUGAAUUGACGGGGGCCCGCACAAGCGGUGGAGCAUGUGGUUUAAUUCGAUGCAACGCGAAGAACCUUACCUACUCUUGACAUCCAGAGAACUUUCCAGAGAUGGAUUGGUGCCUUCGGGAACUCUGAGACAGGUGCUGCAUGGCUGUCGUCAGCUCGUGUUGUGAAAUGUUGGGUUAAGUCCCGCAACGAGCGCAACCCUUAUCCUUGUUUGCCAGCGAGUAAUGUCGGGAACUCCAGGGAGACUGCCGGUGAUAAACCGGAGGAAGGUGGGGACGACGUCAAGUCAUCAUGGCCCUUACGAGUAGGGCUACACACGUGCUACAAUGGCGCAUACAGAGGGC
Molecule: ribosomal RNA, 872 nt
Filed under: Vibrio sp.
Lineage: Bacteria; Pseudomonadati; Pseudomonadota; Gammaproteobacteria; Vibrionales; Vibrionaceae
Description: bacterial SSU rRNA
Rfam family: Bacterial small subunit ribosomal RNA
Source: RNAcentral